GACGAACGCUGGCGGCGUGCUUAACACAUGCAAGUCGAACGAAGUGGCGAACGGGUGAGUAAUACGUGGGUAACCUGCCCUCCUUUUUGGGAUAAGCCUUGGAAACGGGGUCUAAUACCGAAUAAAGGGGGAUGGGCUCGCGGCCUAUCAGCUUGUUGGUGGGGUGAUGGCCUACCAAGGCGGUGACGGCUAGCCGGCCUGAGAGGGUGACCGGCCAAAUUGGGGGUGGGAGACGGCCCAGUCUCCUACGGGAGGAAGCAGUGGGGGAUAUUGGGCAAUGGGCGCAAGCCUGACCCAGCAACGCCGCGUGAAGGAAGACGGUCUUCGGAAUGUAAACUGCUUUGUACAGCGGUACCUGUAGAAUAAGCCACGGCUAACUACGUGCCAGCAGCCGCGGUAAUAC
Molecule: ribosomal RNA, 403 nt
Filed under: uncultured bacterium
Lineage: Bacteria
Description: partial 16S ribosomal RNA
Rfam family: Bacterial small subunit ribosomal RNA
Source: RNAcentral